UCUCUAGGCUAUGGUUUUUCUCGUGUUGUGAGUAAAGCCAAAGCUCAGGCCUCAGACUCAUCGGAUGAGAACCAAAUCGGUGAAGGAACACUAGCAAUAUGAUAGCCAUUAGAAGAAACACGAAUCUGCAUUGCUUGGACCUACAACCAAAACGAAGGGAAGAUAGUCCUUAUAAGUGUAUAGUGUUUUUAGUUAACCCCAUUUUUAAAAGAAUGUACAGAAUUAUAGCAAGCAAGAAGCUAUGCAGGAGAGCAAUUUUUUUUUAUGGCAUAAUAACCACUAGGUGAUAGACCUUUUAAUUGCUUUGGUUCGAAAAGUUGUUGUUUUUGCAUUUCAG
Molecule: unclassified non-coding RNA, 337 nt
Filed under: Hevea brasiliensis (rubber tree)
Lineage: Eukaryota; Viridiplantae; Streptophyta; Magnoliopsida; Malpighiales; Euphorbiaceae
Source: RNAcentral